UACGUAGGGACCAAGCGUUGUCCGGAAUCAUUGGGCGUAAAGCGCGCGUAGGUGGCCAUUUAAGUCCGCUGUGAAAGUCAAAGGCUCAACCUUUGAAAGCCGGUGGAUACUGGAUGGCUAGAGUACGGAAGAGGCGAGUGGAAUUCCUGGUGUAGCGGUGGAAUGCGCAGAUAUCAGGAGGAACACCAAUAGCGAAGGCAGCUCGCUGGACGUUACUGACACUGAGGCGCGAAAGCGUGGGAGCGAACGG
This 250-nucleotide ribosomal RNA is filed under the name uncultured bacterium. RNAcentral describes it as "partial 16S ribosomal RNA". It matches the Rfam family "Bacterial small subunit ribosomal RNA", at positions 524 to 775 of the family's 1533-position model. The record is from RNAcentral.